This 465-nucleotide ribosomal RNA is filed under the name Vreelandella stevensii. Its description in RNAcentral is "partial 16S ribosomal RNA". It matches the Rfam family "Bacterial small subunit ribosomal RNA", at positions 338 to 795 of the family's 1533-position model. The record is from RNAcentral. Lineage: Bacteria; Pseudomonadati; Pseudomonadota; Gammaproteobacteria; Oceanospirillales; Halomonadaceae.
CCUACGGGGGGCAGCAGUGGGGAAUAUUGGACAAUGGGGGGAACCCUGAUCCAGCCAUGCCGCGUGUGUGAAGAAGGCCCUCGGGUUGUAAAGCACUUUCAGUGAGGAAGAACGCCUGGUGGUUAAUACCCAUCAGGAAAGACAUCACUCACAGAAGAAGCACCGGCUAACUCCGUGCCAGCAGCCGCGGUAAUACGGAGGGUGCGAGCGUUGAUCGGAAUUACUGGGCGUAAAGCGCGCGUAGGUGGCUUGAUAAGCCGGUUGUGAAAGCCCCGGGCUCAACCUGGGAACGGCAUCCGGAACUGUCAAGCUAGAGUGCAGGAGAGGAAGGUAGAAUUCCCGGUGUAGCGGUGAAAUGCGUAGAGAUCGGGAGGAAUACCAGUGGCGAAGGCGGCCUUCUGGACUGACACUGACACUGAGGUGCGAAAGCGUGGGUAGCAAACAGGAUUAGAUACCCUUGUAGUC